Molecule: ribosomal RNA, 897 nt
Filed under: uncultured bacterium
Lineage: Bacteria
Description: partial 16S ribosomal RNA
Source: RNAcentral
GGGAGCUCUCCCAUAUGGUCGACCUGCAGGCGGCCGCGAAUUCACUAGUGAUUAGAGUUUGAUCCUGGCUCAGGUCGUAACAAGGUAGCCGUGUUUGAUCCUGGCUCAAGUCGUAACAAGGUAGCAAUCGAAUUCCCGCGGCCGCCAUGGCGGCCGGGAGCAUGCGACGUCGGGCCCAAUUCGCCCUAUAGUGAGUCGUAUUACAAUUCACUGGCCGUCGUUUUACAACGUCGUGACUGGGAAAACCCUGGCGUUACCCAACUUAAUCGCCUUGCAGCACAUCCCCCUUUCGCCAGCUGGCGUAAUAGCGAAGAGGCCCGCACCGAUCGCCCUUCCCAACAGUUGCGCAGCCUGAAUGGCGAAUGGACGCGCCCUGUAGCGGCGCAUUAAGCGCGGCGGGUGUGGUGGUUACGCGCAGCGUGACCGCUACACUUGCCAGCGCCCUAGCGCCCGCUCCUUUCGCUUUCUUCCCUUCCUUUCUCGCCACGUUCGCCGGCUUUCCCCGUCAAGCUCUAAAUCGGGGGCUCCCUUUAGGGUUCCGAUUUAGUGCUUUACGGCACCUCGACCCCAAAAAACUUGAUUAGGGUGAUGGUUCACGUAGUGGGCCAUCGCCCUGAUAGACGGUUUUUCGCCCUUUGACNUUGGANUCCACGUUCUUUAAUAGUGGACUCUUGUUCCAAACUGGAACAACACUCAACCCUAUCUCGNUCUAUUCUUUUGAUUUAUAANGNAUUUUGCCGAUUUCGGCCUAUUGGGUUAAAAAAUGAGCUGAUUUAACAAAAAUUUAACGCNANNUUUAACAAAAUAUUAACGNNUUANNUUUCCUGAUGCGNUAUUUUCUCCNUACGCAUCNNGCGNAUUUCACACCNCNNNGUGGCACUUUUCGGNAAAUGUGCG